This 643-nucleotide ribosomal RNA is filed under the name Inocybe geophylla. RNAcentral's name for it is "eukaryotic LSU rRNA". It matches the Rfam family "Eukaryotic large subunit ribosomal RNA", at positions 1 to 625 of the family's 3401-position model. Lineage: Eukaryota; Fungi; Basidiomycota; Agaricomycetes; Agaricales; Inocybaceae. The record is from RNAcentral.
UGACCUCAAAUCAGGUAGGACUACCCGCUGAACUUAAGCAUAUCAAUAAGCGGAGGAAAAGAAACUAACAAGGAUUCCCCUAGUAACUGCGAGUGAAGCGGGAAGAGCUCAAAUUUGAAAUCUGGCAGCUCUUUGAACUGUCCGAGUUGUAAUCUAGAGAAGUGUUACCUGUGCUGGACCGUGUUCAAGUCUCCUGGGAUGGAGCGUCAUAGAGGGUGAGAAUCCCGUCUUCGACACGGACUGCCUGCACGUUAUGGUGCGCUCUCAAAGAGUCGAGUUGUUUGGGAAUGCAGCUCAAAAUGGGUGGUAAAUGCCAUCUAAAGCUAAAUAUUGGCGAGAGACCGAUAGCGAACAAGUACCGUGAGGGAAAGAUGAAAAGAACUUUGGAAAGAGAGUUAAACAGUACGUGAAAUUGCUGAAAGGGAAACGCUUGAAGUCAGUCGCGUCGGCUAGAAAUCAACCUUGCUUUUGCUUGGUGUACUUUCUUGUUGAUGGGUCAGCAUCAAUUUUGACCGUUGGAUAAAGUCUUUGGGAAUGUGGCAUCUUAGGAUGUGUUAUAGCCCAUUGUCGCAUACGGCGGUUGGGAUUGAGGAACUCAGCACGCCCGCAAGGGACGGGUUUCGACCACGUUCGUGCUAGGAUG